RNAcentral lists this transfer RNA (72 nucleotides) under Camelus bactrianus (Bactrian camel). It matches the Rfam family "tRNA". From Rfam's summary of the family: Transfer RNA (tRNA) molecules are approximately 80 nucleotides in length. Lineage: Eukaryota; Metazoa; Chordata; Mammalia; Artiodactyla; Camelidae. RNAcentral also lists the same sequence under 1 other name. The record is from Rfam by way of RNAcentral.
GAGGGUAUAGCUCAGUGGUAGAGUGCAUGCUUAACAUGCACAAGGUCCUGGGUUUAAUCCCCAGUACUUCCA